Lonchura striata (white-rumped munia) is the source of this 1846-nucleotide long non-coding RNA. The record is from Ensembl. NCBI's taxonomy places the organism in Eukaryota, Metazoa, Chordata, Aves, Passeriformes, Estrildidae.
ACAGAUCCCACUGCGGCCGGCGGACAUGGAGGGGUCUUUACUGAGGGGGGAGGGGCGGGGGGCGCCCCCCACGGAGGUUUUGGGGUCGUUUUCCCCAAUUUUGGUCCGGGAUGGAUUUGGGGGUGGGGGGGGAGGGGGGCUGGAAUGGAUUCCCAGGGUCUGGGAUGGUUUCUUGGAGGUCUGGAAUGGAUUUGGGGGGGUCCGGAAUGGAUUCUGGGGCUCAGGAAUGGAUUUCAGGGGGUCCGGAAUGGAUUUGGGGAGUCCGGAAUGGAUUUGGGGAGUCCGGAAUGGAUUUGGGGAGUCCGGAAUGGAUUUGGGAGGUCUGGAACGGAUUCCCGAGGUCAGGAAUGGGUUCUGGGGGUCUGGAAUGGAUUCCUGAGGUCAGGAAUGGAUUCCGGGUGGUCAGGAAUGGAUUUUCGGGGGUCCGGAAUGAAUUUGGGGUGUCAGGAACGGAUUCCAAAGGUCCGGAAUGGAUUGGAGGGGGGCUGGAAUGGAUUUGGGGGUCCCGGGUCCCCCCAAAACCGCGGGCACGGAAACGUCCCCGAGAGUCCUUCCCCCUCCUGCCCCUCCGGCCCGGGGGGGCUCGGCCCCGGUUCCGGGGGGUCCCGGUCCCGGUUCUGGAGGCUCCUGGUUCUGGUCCUGGACGUUUCCCGGUCCUGGUUCCAGUCCCGGUCUGCUUCCAGAGGAAUCCAGUUCCAGUUAUUUCCCAGUCCUGAUUCCAGUUCCGGAGUUUUCCUGGUCCCAGUCCAGGUCCGAGUUCCAGUUCCGGAGUUUUCUUGGUCCCAGUUCUGGAUCCAGAGUUUCCCUGGUCCCGGUCCCAUCCAGUCCCAGUCCCGGUUCCAGUUCUGGUUCUGGUUGUGUCCCGGUCCCGGUUCCAGUUCCAGUUCCAGAGUUUCCCAGUCCAGGUCCCAGUUCUGGUUCCGGAUUUUCCCUGGUCCUGGACCCGGUUCCAGCUCCAGUUCGGAUUUUCCCUGAUCCUGGUUCCAAUCCUGGUUCCGGUUCCAAUCCCGGUCCCAGUUCCAGUCCUGGUUCUGGUUCUUUCCCAGUCCCGGUCCCGGUUCCAGUCCCGGUUCUGGUUCUUUCCCAGUCCCGGUUCCGGUUCCAGUUCCGGAUUUUCCCUGGUCCUGAUCCCAAUCCCGGUCCCGGUUCCAGUCCUGGUUCUGGUUCUUUCCCAGUCCCGGUCCCGGUUCCAGUCCUGGUUCUGGCUCUUUCCCAGUCCCGGUCCCGGUUCCAGUUCCGGAUUUUCCCCGGUCCCGCUCCCUUUCAGCCCAGGUGCAGCCGCUGGUGCCGGAGGAGGGCGGAGCUUCCCCCGAAGCCCCGCCCACAAUCCCCGCAGGUGAGGGGCGUGUCACCGUCAGGUGUGUCACGGGUGAGGGGCGUGGCACAGGUGAGGGGCGUGGCACAGGUCACGGGCAUGGCACCGAUCCCAGGUGUGUCACGGGUGAGGGGCGUGGCACCAGUGGGCGUGUCACAGGUGAGGGGCGUGUCACAGGUGAGGGGUGUGUCCCAGGUGAGGGCCGUGGCACAGGCGAGGGGCGUGGCACCGCUGCCAGGCGUGUCCCAGGUGAGGCCCGUGUCCGGGGCGCGUCCGCUCAGGUGUGCCGGGGGGGCGUGUCCCUGGCCCAGCCCCGCCCCGCAGCGGGCGCAGCCCCGCCCCGGCCCCGCCUUCCUCCUCCUCCUCCUCCUCCCGCCGCCGCCCGGCUCCUCCCCGUGGGCGUGGCGGUGCUUGAGGAAGGCGGAGCUGUAGCUGAAGCCCCGCCCACACUCCGCACAGGUGAAGCGCCGGCGGCUCAGGUGCGCGCCCCGCCCGCGGCCCCGCCCGCGCUGGCCACGCCCCCUGCCCGAG